UGGACGCGCCGCCAGGGUAGGCGAAUACAUUGGUCACGCCUUGCCGCUCGAGCGCCUCAACGAGGACGUCGGCGCCUUUUCUGGGCUCGUCAGGGGCAAAUCGGGAAAUUUUGGUUUCUGGGUCUGGAGGGUUAGUGGUGGUGAUGGUGGUGGUGGCGGUCUUGGAGGAGAGAGAGUUGGAGAUUUGGAGGUGGCGGAGGAAAGUGGGUUUUUGGGGAUGAGGAGAGAAGGGGAGGGUGAAUCUGGAAAUGGGGUUUGAGGAUUUGGAAGAAACAGGGAAAGGAGAGGGUUUUGAGGCGGAAGAAGGUGGAGCAAUGGCCG
RNAcentral lists this long non-coding RNA (321 nucleotides) under Prunus persica (peach). RNAcentral describes it as "long non-coding RNA (PPER_LNC005140)". The record is from RNAcentral. Lineage: Eukaryota; Viridiplantae; Streptophyta; Magnoliopsida; Rosales; Rosaceae.